Phalacrocorax carbo (great cormorant) is the source of this 336-nucleotide non-coding RNA. The record is from RefSeq and is a predicted model, not a curated record. Lineage: Eukaryota; Metazoa; Chordata; Aves; Suliformes; Phalacrocoracidae.
GGAGGGUGCGGGGAGGGGGGAGUCACCGCGCGCGGCGUCCACUCGCCUCCCCGGGUCUCCCUUCGCCCCCUCAGGGACCCUCCGGUGUCCCCAGGACUCCUCGCUGACAGUCCCUGCCGCCCCGAACCACCCGCCGCCCGCCCUGGGAGCCCCCAGCGCCCCUGGAGACCCCCACUUCCCUCAGGACCUUCCAGCUGGCAAAUGAGGCAAUUCCAUGCUGCCUUCCAGUGACUUGGGGUGCCUCGUUAUGCGCCUGUGCUUGCCCAGACACUCCACGGUCAGAGCCCUGUGAGCCGGCAGCGCGUCUGCAGCAGUGCAAAGCUCGGACCGCCUCAG